CCUUCCUCUACAUCGUUCACUGUCUCUUCAACAAGGAGGUACGUGAUGAGUACAGGAAGUGGCUAGGCUGUUCUUCCAGCUCCUCUACUCCAGACUCUAUGAAAGAAGCACCUUCCGUCUCUGAAGACCUGGACAAGGCUGGUGAAGAGAGACAAAACAAAGGAUCACGGCCAGGAUGAGAGCAACAUGAUACGAUACCAUCAGACCUCCAAAGCAUUUCAGCACAGUGGGCCGCCACGGUAUAUCUUUCAAUGCACACUGUACACACUAAGUAUGAGAGAGAGAGAGAGAGAGAGAGGUGUUUUUAUAUGGAUGCUAAUGACUCACAUAAUACAGCCUGACC
This 343-nucleotide long non-coding RNA is filed under the name Salmo salar (Atlantic salmon). RNAcentral's name for it is "lncRNA (ENSSSAG00000106912.1)". Lineage: Eukaryota; Metazoa; Chordata; Actinopteri; Salmoniformes; Salmonidae. The record is from RNAcentral.